This is a long non-coding RNA of Ipomoea nil (Japanese morning glory), 323 nucleotides long. RefSeq lists it as uncharacterized. The transcript is spliced from 3 exons. The record is from RefSeq and is a predicted model, not a curated record. Lineage: Eukaryota; Viridiplantae; Streptophyta; Magnoliopsida; Solanales; Convolvulaceae.
ACUUGACUACACUAAUGGGUUCAACAGGAUGAGUUCUACAUUGAAAUGGUCUCUACAGAAGCAACAAUCCCAGAGUUAGGGCAGAGGCUUUACUGUUGGAGCAAGAAGAUUUGCCCGGUGAUAACGAUGAGGACAUACCUCACUUUUAAGAUGUUGAAGCAUUGAUCUUUAACAUGGACCUGAGCCCCGAUGACAAAGACAUCUGCUUUCAUAAGGAAUUUGCAAAAUAUCAACACCAGCAGACUAAAAAAACAAUCAAUGAGACUGCAGUGGGGUGCCGAAGCUCAUAUACAAAGAGUGAUUGCAGCUCAAGGAACAUCUGC